RNAcentral lists this ribosomal RNA (520 nucleotides) under uncultured Glomus. Its description in RNAcentral is "SSU rRNA". It matches the Rfam family "Eukaryotic small subunit ribosomal RNA", at positions 569 to 1090 of the family's 1831-position model. The record is from RNAcentral. Lineage: Eukaryota; Fungi; Glomeromycota; Glomeromycetes; Glomerales; Glomeraceae.
AGCAGCCGCGGUAAUUCCAGCUCCAAUAGCGUAUAUUAAAGUUGUUGCAGUUAAAAAGCUCGUAGUUGAAUUUCGGGGUCAGUAGGCUGGUCGUGCCACAGGUAUGGACUGGUCCCACUGAUUCCUCCUUCCUGAUGAACCGUAAUGCCAUUAAUUUGGUGUUGCGGGGAGACUGGACUGUUACUUUGAAAAAAUUAGAGUGUUUAAAGCAGGCUAACGCUUGAAUACAUUAGCAUGGAAUAAUGAAAUAGGACGUUCGAUCUUAUUUUGUUGGUUUCUAAGAUUGACGUAAUGAUUAAUAGGGAUAGUUGGGGGCGUUAGUAUUCAAUUGUCAGAGGUGAAAUUCUUGGAUUUAUUGAAGACUAACUACUGCGAAAGCAUUUGCCAAGGAUGUUUUCAUUAAUCAAGAACGAAAGUUAGGGGAUCGAAGACGAUCAGAUACCGUCGUAGUCUUAACCAUAAACUAUGCCGACUAGGGAUCGGAUGAUGUUAAUUUUUUAAUGACUCAUUCGGCGCCUUA